UGGUAUGAAUAAGCGCCUGGACCAGUACAUGGUUGACGAGGGGGAAGUUUAAUCGAAAAUUCGGCGGAUGCUUCCCGGUUGCUGCAUGACCGAAAAAGAUAUCUUAAAUCCUAAAAGUAAUUUUAGGGACAAAGGGUAUUAGAUGCAGUG
This 150-nucleotide non-coding RNA is filed under the name Desulfonispora thiosulfatigenes. RNAcentral describes it as "GlcN6P sequence". It matches the Rfam family "glmS glucosamine-6-phosphate activated ribozyme aptamer". Rfam says of the family: This entry contains a glucosamine-6-phosphate activated ribozyme that is found in the mRNA for GlmS. GlmS is an enzyme that uses fructose-6-phosphate and glutamine to generate glucosamine-6-phosphate. The record is from RNAcentral. Lineage: Bacteria; Bacillati; Bacillota; Clostridia; Eubacteriales; Peptococcaceae. RNAcentral also lists the same sequence under 1 other name.